This 702-nucleotide long non-coding RNA is filed under the name Callithrix jacchus (white-tufted-ear marmoset). Its description in RNAcentral is "lncRNA (ENSCJAG00000070507.1)". Lineage: Eukaryota; Metazoa; Chordata; Mammalia; Primates; Cebidae. The record is from RNAcentral.
CUCCAGCCAUGCAAGACGUAUCUGCUUCCCUCUCACCUUCCACCAUUUUUGUGUUUCCCAAGGCCUCUUGAGAAGCCAAGCAGAUGCCAGCAUUGUGUUUCCGGUACAGCCUGCGGAACUGUGAACAAAUCAAACAGCUUUUAUUUACAAAUCACCCUGUCUCAGGCUGCUGUGCAAGCUGCUCUGCCUCUUGGGCCAUGUGACCCAGCAGAUCCAAUGGUGCUUGAGGUGUCAGUGGCAGAGAAGAAUGCUGUUUGGAGCCUUUGGCAGCCCCCAUAGGUGAAUCACAGCAAAGGACUUUACAAUUUUGGAGCAAGGCCCUGCCAUCUUUGUCAGAUAACUACUCUCCUUUCGAGAGACAGCUCUUGGACUGUUAAUGGGCUUUGGGGGAAACUGAACAUUUGACUGUGGGUCAUCAAGUCACCAUGUGACCUGAACUGCCUAUCAUGACCUGAGUGCUUUCUGACCCAUCUAGCCACAAAGUGGGUUGUACAAAGAAGCAUUCCAUCAUCAAAUGGAAGUGGUAUAUAUGUGACUGGGUUUGAGCAGGUUCUGAAGUACAUAAGGCACAAGUAAGUUAUACUGAAAUGCCCAUGGUCUCCACUUCUAUCACCCUGCCUUUUCUCCCUCAGCCCACACUGAUGGCCUCAGGGGAAAUCCCCUAUGAUCUGGUGACAGAGGAAGAGAAGACCAGGGCCUGAU